Molecule: microRNA precursor, 136 nt
Organism: Citrus x clementina
Lineage: Eukaryota; Viridiplantae; Streptophyta; Magnoliopsida; Sapindales; Rutaceae
Source: Rfam
AACCUUGUUUGAUAGCCAAGGAUGACUUGCCUUGCUUUUAAAGAAAGGUCUCUCAACUUUAGCUUAGCUACAUAUUUAGCUAGUAUCCUUGUGCAGGUUCCAAGGCAAGUCGUCUUUGGCUAUUUUGACAGGCUCU